This 398-nucleotide ribosomal RNA is filed under the name uncultured fungus. Its description in RNAcentral is "partial small subunit ribosomal RNA". It matches the Rfam family "Eukaryotic small subunit ribosomal RNA", at positions 30 to 432 of the family's 1831-position model. The record is from RNAcentral. Lineage: Eukaryota; Fungi.
GCUUGUCUCAAAGAUUAAGCCAUGCAUGUCUAAGUAUAAGCGUUUAUACAGUGAAACUGCGAAUGGCUCAUUAUAUCAGUUAUCAUUUACUUGAUGAUACUUUACCACUUGGAUAACCGUGGUAAUUCUAGAGCUAAUACAUGCCUUCAAGGCCGCCUUGUUUGGCGGCCUGCAUUUAUUAGAUCCAAACCAAUGCCAGCAAUGGCUCCUGGUGAUUCAUAAUAACUUGGCGGAUCGCAUGACCUUGCGUCGGCGACGUAUCAAUCAAAUUUCUGCCCUAUCAAGUCUCGAUGGUAGGAUAGAGGCCUACCAUGCUAGUUACGGGUAACGGGGAAUAAGGGUUCGAUUCCGGAGAGGGCGCCUGAGAAAUGGCGACCACAUCCAAGGAAGGCAGCAGG